RNAcentral lists this ribosomal RNA (535 nucleotides) under uncultured Bacteroidota bacterium. RNAcentral describes it as "bacterial SSU rRNA". It matches the Rfam family "Bacterial small subunit ribosomal RNA", at positions 370 to 905 of the family's 1533-position model. The record is from RNAcentral. Lineage: Bacteria; Pseudomonadati; Bacteroidota.
AAUGGACGCAAGUCUGAACCAGCCAUGCCGCGUGCAGGAUGACUGCCCUAUGGGUUGUAAACUGCUUUUGUAUGGGAAGAAUUGCAUCUACGUGUAGAUGUUUGCCGGUACCAUACGAAUAAGGAUCGGCUAACUCCGUGCCAGCAGCCGCGGUAAUACGGAGGAUUCGAGCGUUAUCCGGAUUUAUUGGGUUUAAAGGGUGCGUAGGCGGCUGAAUAAGUCAGUGGUGAAAGACUGUGGCUCAACCAUAGAAUUGCCAUUGAAACUGUUUAGCUUGAAUAUAGUUGAGGUAGGCGGAAUGUGUAGUGUAGCGGUGAAAUGCUUAGAUAUUACACAGAACACCGAUUGCGAAGGCAGCUUACUAAGCUAUUAUUGACGCUGAUGCACGAAAGCGUGGGUAGCGAACAGGAUUAGAUACCCUGGUAGUCCACGCCGUAAACGAUGAUCACUCGUUGUCUGCGAUACAUUGUAGGUGACUAAGCGAAAGCGAUAAGUGAUCCACCUGGGGAGUACGAUCGCAAGAUUGAAACUCAAA